CCUACGGGAGGCAGCAGUGGGGGAUAUUGCACAAUGGGGGAAACCCUGAUGCAGCGACGCCGCGUGGGUGAAGAAGGGCCUCGGCGCGUAAAGCCCUGUCAGCAGGGAAGAAAAUGACGGUACCUGAAGAAGAAGCCCCGGCUAACUACGUGCCAGCAGCCGCGGUAAUACGUAGGGGGCAAGCGUUAUCCGGAUUUACUGGGUGUAAAGGGGGCGCAGACGGCGAGGCAAGCCAGGAGUGAAAGCCCGGGGCCCAACCCCGGGACUGCUCUUGAAACUGCGUGGCUAGAGUGCAGGAGGGGCAGGCGGAAUUCCUGGUGUAGCGGUGAAAUGCGUAGAUAUCAGGAGGAACACCGGUGGCGAAGGCGGCCUGCUGGACUGCAACUGACGUUGAGGCCCGAAAGCGUGGGGAGCAAACAGGAUUAGAUACCCGGGUAGUC
Molecule: ribosomal RNA, 440 nt
Filed under: uncultured bacterium
Lineage: Bacteria
Description: partial 16S ribosomal RNA
Rfam family: Bacterial small subunit ribosomal RNA
Source: RNAcentral